RNAcentral lists this ribosomal RNA (498 nucleotides) under uncultured bacterium. RNAcentral's name for it is "partial 16S ribosomal RNA". It matches the Rfam family "Bacterial small subunit ribosomal RNA", at positions 29 to 507 of the family's 1533-position model. The record is from RNAcentral.
ACGAACGCUGGCGGCGUGCCUAAUACAUGCAAGUCGAGCGAAGUUUUUCUGGUGCUUGCACUAGAAAAACUUAGCGGCGAACGGGUGAGUAACACGUAAAGAACCUGCCUCAUAGACUGGGACAACUAUUGGAAACGAUAGCUAAUACCGGAUAACAGCAUUAACUGCAUGGUUGAUGUUUAAAAGUUGGUUUUGCUAACACUAUGAGAUGGCUUUGCGGUGCAUUAGCUAGUUGGUGGGGUAAAGGCCUACCAAGGCGACGAUGCAUAGCCGACCUGAGAGGGUGAUCGGCCGCACUGGGACUGAGACACGGCCCAGACUCCUACGGGAGGCAGCAGUAGGGAAUCUUCCGCAAUGGGCGAAAGCCUGACGGAGCAACGCCGCGUGAGUGAAGAAGGAUUUCGGUUCGUAAAGCUCUGUUGUUAGGGAAGAAUGAUUGUGUAGUAACUAUACACAGUAGAGACGGUACCUAACCAGAAAGCCACGGCUAACUACGUG